This 275-nucleotide small RNA is filed under the name Citrobacter farmeri. Its description in RNAcentral is "ryfA RNA". It matches the Rfam family "ryfA RNA". Rfam says of the family: This family consists of a number of bacterial RNA genes of 305 bases in length. Lineage: Bacteria; Pseudomonadati; Pseudomonadota; Gammaproteobacteria; Enterobacterales; Enterobacteriaceae. The record is from RNAcentral.
UGGUCCGGUUCGCGGCCUUUCCAGCGGGCUGUGUUGCCACAGCAAUGUAAGUGCCCCCAGCACUUGCUGUCACGGCAUUAUCGCCAGUGGUACUUUCGUGAAGCGGUCUUCGCAUGGACCGCACAAUGAAGAUACGGUACGUCUGUAUCGUGCUUCUUGUUUCUGGCGUGUUGUGCCUUCACGCAGACCAGAGUUACUUCGGUAAUUCAGUUUUCGUAAAGACCAACGACCAGGGCAGGUAAGCGAGGAUGCCGCCUUUCGGGGCGGCUUUCCUU